UACGUAGGGCGCAAGCGUUAUCCGGAAUUAUUGGGCGUAAAGAGCUCGUAGGCGGUUUGUCGCGUCUGCCGUGAAAGUCCGGGGCUCAACUCCGGAUCUGCGGUGGGUACGGGCAGACUAGAGUGAUGUAGGGGAGACUGGAAUUCCUGGUGUAGCGGUGAAAUGCGCAGAUAUCGAGGAGGAACACCGGUGGACGAAGGCGGGUCUGCGUGGGCCGUAACUGACGCUGGAGGAAGCGAAAGGCAUGGGGAGCGAACAGG
Molecule: ribosomal RNA, 260 nt
Filed under: uncultured bacterium
Lineage: Bacteria
Description: partial 16S ribosomal RNA
Rfam family: Bacterial small subunit ribosomal RNA
Source: RNAcentral